UGACACGGCGGCAAAUUCAAAGUCUACGGGGAUUUAACAUGGUAAACUCGUCCAUUAGCGUCAAGAUCACGGGGCAGGAAACCAGUUUAUCGAGGGAGUAGUCGUUCUUUCCAAAUUAAAAUUACAAAAAAUCCUAAAAAUUCAACGAAAGCAAUUCAGUGUGUUUUGGUAAAAAAUAUAAGUAUUGUUUUGCAUUCAAAUAUAUUUGACGAGUUUUCUCAUAAACUGAGAGAAAAUAAUCCGAAUUCAAUGCAGUACAAGUUGUGGAUAACGCACUGCUCUAGAAAGGGGAUGUUGACAUGAUGUGUAAUUUACAGCUUCCUUCGAUGAAAACGUUAAAAAAAUUGGAGUACAUUGUUAUGAUGACCAGACUCGAAGGCAUUCAUGUAAUUGGGUGAAUCACAGAGUCUCAGGAAUCUUCUGGACUAACCAAAAGUGAUGGCUGAAACAAAUAUUAACUGAUAGUCUACUUAGUGAUCUGGACACUGG
Saccostrea echinata is the source of this 489-nucleotide long non-coding RNA. RefSeq lists it as uncharacterized. The record is from RefSeq and is a predicted model, not a curated record. NCBI's taxonomy places the organism in Eukaryota, Metazoa, Mollusca, Bivalvia, Ostreida, Ostreidae. The transcript is spliced from 3 exons.